This 9919-nucleotide long non-coding RNA is filed under the name Triticum aestivum (bread wheat). RNAcentral's name for it is "long non-coding RNA (TAES_LNC020301)". Lineage: Eukaryota; Viridiplantae; Streptophyta; Magnoliopsida; Poales; Poaceae. The record is from RNAcentral.
CAAGACAGAGUGGCCUGAGCUGGUCGGACGCACGAUCAAGGAGGCGGAGGAGAAGAUCAAGGCGGACCGGCCGGACCUCAAAGUCAUCAUUGUCCCGGUAGGAAGUUUUGUGACAACAGACGUCGAUUUGAACCGCGUUCGCGUCUGGGUCGACACGGUGGCGGAGGUUCCCAAGAUUGGCUAAGCUAGCUUAAUUAGCCUAUCACUGGAAUAAAGGCCCAUGCAAGUCUCCACUUUGUUCAGUUAAUUGGCCGAAUAAAUAAGCAUGGGUACAGUCUGAAAAAUGUACGGAUGUGCUAUGUAAUGUUGUUUUGUAUGUGAGUUGUAAGCAUCAGUAAUAUUGUCGAGCCACUGUUUAUUGUUCAAGAAAUAUAAUCUACUUCAGCAUUAGGACAUGAUCUAUGAAUUCUUCUUGAGGGCCAAUAAUAUGCGCGGUAUGAUUUCUAAUAAGUUCAGCGAGGCAGGAAGACAUAACCUUCUUACCCUCCCCUGGACAAAUCUUUUGGGCAUAUUUCUUGUUCUGAUAGCUCUUAUCAGGGGGUUGGAUAGAGAUGUGAGCAGUCUUCUAGCUCCUGGUUAGAAGUCGAGUAACCACAACGGUUCUUUUGGUAUAAGACGUCCUCUUUUUCCUAGAUCAACAAGAGUAAAAGGUUGUUCAUUCUUAGUGCCAUCAUUUUCUUCAGAAGAGAUCCAAUGCAAAUUUAAUGGAGUUUUAUCGUCAUUAUAAUUUCGAAUAUAAAGGAUGUUAUCUUUCACAUGGUUUGUUGCGAUUUUAGCAGCUAGCACAUCCCAAGAAACUUCAAAUUAUUUAUCAUACUCCACAGAGGAAAAUCAUCAAAGAGAAUAUUAAUAACCAUCAAAGAGGCUCUAAGCAUAAGUUCCUGAUCAGACACUCAACAAAAGAGUUAGAGGUAGAAGUUGAAAAGGGGUUACCUUACAUAUCCCUUUUCCUUGUAAGGUUAGUUGCUUGAACGAUCACUUUAUUCAUAUCGCACAACUGGGUGCGCCGACAGAGCUGAAUGUUUCCACAACUCCACAAUAAUCAAGUGCAUAAGGAAAAAAAUAGCAAGCCUUAACAUACAUUAUUUUUAAGGGAUUGAACCAGGUAACCAGGGGAUUAAGUAGCAAAUAAGGGCCAGACUCAAUUUCCAUGACAUGAGGUAAAGGAGGCCAAUCGUGCACACUUAGCCUAAUAUAAUAUAUAAAAGUGCAUAUUAAGAACCAUUAGAUUUUAGUGAUUAAUGACAAAAAAAUUAAGAGGACAAAUUUUUUAUCAAGUCUUUCAGGAACUUGAUUCAUAUUGGUGAGUGGGACAUCAUUGGUGACUGCUAGUUUUUGUGCUAACAAAUGGUUGGCCCUUUGAGCUCAGAGUGUGUAAUUUAUAGGGUUUUAGUGGAUCAAAGAUUCAUGUUAAAUUUAAGGGCAACUGUACUAUCAAGAGGGACAUGUAAAAAUUAACUACUACUAAACUCUAUGUGAAGAUCCUAAACCAAAUCCCUUCACUCCUUCCACCCAAUUUCUCAAGUUUUCAGCUUCCAUGGUAGUUCAGAGUAUUUCCUAUGCGACACUAACGACUCUAUGAGGAAUGAGUGCUUCUGCUGAGCGAACGAAGUUCACUAAGUUUUCUUUGGAUGCCAAGAUUUUUCUCGUGCACCGUGAAGAUUUUUCUGCAGUACCCUGGAGUUGUGUUUUGUUGAGACCAUUUCUAUUACCUCUAGCACCUCCAAGUCUAACUGUUUCCUACACUUCUGUGAACCUCUCGGUUUGCUUCAGCCCAUCGACUCAGAAUAGGUCCGAUACUUCCGAACUUUCUAUCUUCCGAUACAUGUUCAUAUUUGGUUCUUUGAGAGUCUUACUGGACGGCCAGGUACCGCCGAGUACCGCGCAUUUCCAUGAAUAUUUUAUUUCCCACCUGACCGCUCAAACUUUGUGUUGAGUUGUGUAAAUGUGUGAAUAUGUAAUAGUUGGGGGGCUAAGAUGUAAAAGCGCAUAUCUAUAUAGAAUACAGAGAAAGAGGAGGCUGGAUAAGGCGCUCCAGAUUUUUCCCCAUUCUAGUUCUUCCUUCUACCAUCUUCUAAUCCAGAUUUGUUGAAUAUUUCUCUGAUUUACAACAUGGUAUCAGAGCAAGACGAUCCUAGUGCGUCUCUCGCUCUGCCGUAACGCCGCAUCGUUGAGGUGUUGCUGUCGUGUGGCGGCUGGAGCUCGUCUUCGCUCAGAUCCUUUGCGAUUUGGUGGAGCCAAGCAAGAUCGAGGGUUCGGCAGAGAAGAUCGACGAAUACGAUGCGGUGCUGUUCUCACUUUAAGUUGCUGAGAUUCCGGUCAGUUUGAGUCCUUUGUGAUUCAGUUCUCUUUUCUGUGGCUGGGGCAACUUCGUUUGCUGGGUUGAUUUGGUAGUGAUGAGUUUGGCUGAUACAAACUUGUGACCUGUGAGUCUUAUUUGUGGUCUGUUGCCGUAGAGUUCUCUUGCUAGUUAGUGACCAUGGGAGACAAAGACAAGGACAAGGGUGCAGAUUCAAGUGUUGAGAAAUUAUGUGAAAGUAUGCAGUGAAUGCUUGCUCAGCAGAUGGAGCAAGCACAGGUUAAGUCUAGUAGCUCGGCUGAAAUUCAGAAGUCUGUCCUCGAACCAAAUCCAGUAAAAUUAACUGGUCCGGGUGACUAUUUUAGUUGGGCUCGCAAUGCGUCGUUAAUUCUGGAAGUGCAUGGUCUGCAUAAGUACCUAAAUGAAGAUGAGAAAAAGCCAGGAGAGGUAAUGCAGGAACAAUGGGAGCAGAAUCAGAAGCGAGUCAUGGUUUGGCUGUUGGGCUCAACGGAAAAAACUGUUCGGGAACAAGUUGAAAGUUUUCAAACUGCUGCUGAAGUCUGGACAAGUAUUGAAAAACAGUUUUCUGGUAAAUCAAACAAAAUGCAGGUUAGCAGAAUACUACAUGAGAUGUGGCACUUUAGACAAGACCAGAAAUCAGUUACAGAGUAUGCAGGGGAAUUGAAGAAACUUUACAGGGAUCUAGAGUUUUUUAGACCAUUCAAGCCACAUGAUCCUAGAGAUUUGACUCUCCUCAGAGAAUGGUUUGAACCAUUGUUGGUGCAGGUUUUCCUGGAAGGUUUGAAUCCUGAGUUCAAGCUUCGCUCUCAGAUGAUACAAGCAUCUCCUGACUGGCCUACCUUGGAUGAAACUAUUGCCAGUAUUCUUGAAGAAGAGACUCGUUUGGCGAAGCAAUGCCACAGAUGCAUGGUGAUAAUCGUGCUGCACUUACUCACACACAAUCCUCUAUGAGUUUUAGAAGUGGUCAAGCAAAUACUACUAAGUUUGACCACAAACGGAGAAACAAAGUUGUGUGUGAUCAUUGUAAGAGACCUGGCCAUAUGAAAAAGGAUUGUUUUGAGUUGAUUGGUUAUCCUCUAGGAUGGCAGCAGAGAAAAAUAAACAGGUUCAAUGGCAGCGGUAACAGCUUUGAGAAGAAACAAGACCGAGUUCAUCUUGCAUCAUCCACAGGAGAGUUACCUGCAAUUGCUGCUCAGGCUCUAGAAGAGUUCAAGGCAAAAUUGAUGGCUAUUACUGCUGAAGGAUCUAGUGAAGCUGCCAGCUCUCAGAGUGCAGAAGGUGAGAACCAUUUACUUAUGCCCUGGAUAAUUGAUUCGGGUGCCACAAAUCAUAUGACAGGUUCACAAAAAUAUUUUUCAUCAUACAUACCUCGUUCACGAAAGGAUAAGGUCCGUAUAGCUGAUGGAUCUUCGUCUUCCAUAAUGGUAUGUGGAACCAUUAGUUGUACACGUUCCUUACCUUUAAGUCUUGUCUUACAUGUUCCCGAUUUUCCUAUGAACCUUCUAUCUGUCAGUUCAAUCACAAAGUCACUUAAUUGCAGAGCUAUGUUUGAGCCCCGGUUCUGUGUAUUUCAGGACCUGAAGUCAGGAAAAAUACUUGGGACUGGAACUGAGCGUGAUGGCCUGUACUAUCUUGACAAUGUUGCAGCUCCACUUGCAUUUGCUACAGCAUGUACCUCAUCCAUCCACAGAUGAGUUGUUGUUGCUCCAUUGUAGACUAGGGCAUUUAUCUUUCCAAGUCCUAAGUCGUAUGUUUCCAUCACUUUUUGCUUCCUGCUACAAGGAUAAGCUUGUAUGUGAUGUAUGUGAACUAGCUAAGCAUACACGGGCUACUUAUCCUAGUAGUAGUGAGAGAAGUCAAACCCCUUUUGAAAUUGUGCACUCAGAUGUUUGGGGUCCCUCAGUUGUAACCUCUCUAUUAGGAGAGCGUUGGUUUGUGACUUUUAUCGAUGGCUUUAGCCAAUAUACUUGGCUUUAUUUGCUCAAACAAAAGUGUGAUGUGUUAUCUGCAUUUAAAGACUUUUAUGCCUUGAUUUGCAAUCAAUAUAAUGCAAGAGUGAAAAUAUUUCGCUCAGACAAUGGAACCGAGUAUGUUAAUCAGGAGUUUGACUAUUUUCUAGCUUCAAAUGGCAUUAUACACCAGACUACAUGUGUGAACACUGCUGCUCAAAAUGGAGUCGCUGAACGUAAAAAUAGACAUUUAUUGGAGGUUGCUCGGUCCCUCAUGUUCACAAUGAAUGUACCUAAAUUUUUUUGGGGCGAGGCCAUUAAAACAGCAGCAUACUUAAUAAACUGCAUGCCAUCACGGGUUUUGAAUUAUAAAACACCAAUGGAAUGCUUAAGUGGUACUAAUUCGUUUACUGUACCACCAAAGGUGUUUGGUUGUGUUUGUUUUGUUCAUGAUUACAGGAACUCGGUGGGAAAGCUUGAUCCCCGUGUUGUUCGAUGCAUCUUUGUUGGGUAUUCUUCUACCCAGAAAGGCUAUCGUUGUUGGUGCCCUACUGAGAAAUGGUUCUUUGUGAGUAUGGACGUCACUUUUCGGGAGAAAUAACCUUAUUACACGUCAGCCAUCAGUACUAUUGAUAGUAUUGGUCGUGAGGGGGAGAAUUAUGAUAAGGUGGAUGUUCGUAUUGGUUCAAUUUUGACUCCUUUGCUAGAUAUAUCUCAACCAGAUCAAGGAACAGAGGGGGAGGAAAAUGCGAGUACUAAUGAGGGUAGGAGCAGCUCAACUGUUCAUGAGGUAUGUGACACUCCUACUUCUCAACAAGUUAUACAACAUGACAACCCUCUGUCUACAAGUUACAGGUCAUUGCCUCUUGAUUCAGUGCCGCGUGAAGAAACAGAGGAAGGUAGCGUACAUGCUAUGGACCCUACUGAUUCUCCAUUAGUUGAUGGUUAUAUUGAUGACACGACUGAGGAAGGUACUGAAAUUCCUAUUGCAGCUCCUAAAUCUCCACCAGAUGAUUGCCCUAUCGCCUUACGAAAACCUGUGAGACAUCGAGACGUACCAGCACGUCUUAAGGAUUGUGUGGGUUAUAAACAUGAUAUUGCUAAAUUUAUCUCUUAUGAAAAUCGCAGCCCCUCAUUUAAGACUUUCAUUGCUUCUUUGGACUCUACCUCUAUACCCACAGAUUGGAGAGAUGCUAUUAAACAUCCUAAGUGGAAGGAAGCAAUGCUGGAGGAAAUGAAGGCUUUGGAGAAAAAUAACACAUGGGAACUCGUAAAACUACCACAUGGCAAGGAGCCAGUGGGUUGCAAGUGGGUGUAUACGAUCAAGCAGAAUCCUGAUGGCAAGGUGGAGCGAUAUAAGGCACGUCUAGUGGCAAAGGGAUACACACAAACAUAUGGGAUUGAUUACGAAGAAACCUUUGCACAUGUUGCUAAGAUGAGUUCGGUACGAACUUUAAUCUCAUGUGCAUCUAAUCUUAGUUGGGAUCUUCAUCAACUAGAUGUGAAAAAUGCCUUUCUCCAUGGGGACCUUCAAGAAGAAAUUUAUAUGCAUAUACCACCGGGCUUUGACACUGCUCAGACUAAGGAUAAAGUUUUGUGGCUGCAUCGAUCCUUAUAUGGAUUAAAGCAAUCGCCUCGUGCUUGGUUUGAUCGUUUUAGGAGAUCUUUACUUAAAAUGGGCUAUCAUCAGAAUAAUGCUGAUCACACCUUGUUCUAUAAGCGUAAUAUGAGCAAGUUAGCAAUACUGAUAGUAUAUGUUGAUGAUAUCAUCAUUACAGGAGAUGAUACUAAGGAAAUAGAAUACUUGAAGAUGCGGCUAGCGAAGGAGUUUGAGGUUAAAGAUCUUGGACAAUUACGAUAUUUCCUUGGAAUUGAGGUCUCUCGGAGCAAAAAAGGUAUUUAUCUCUAUCAGAGAAAGUAUGUUUUAGAUUUAUUACUAGAAACUGGGCUAUCCAAAUGUCGUCCAGCUCCCACUCCCAUUGAGCAAAAUCAUCGCCUAGUUAGUGAAGCAGGAUCUCCUGUGGAUCGAGAGCGCUAUCAAAGGCUUGUUGGACGACUGAUUUAUAUCUCACACACUCGUCCUGAUAUUGCUUUUGCUGUAAGUGUUGUUAGCCAAUUUAUGCAUGAUCCACGGACUCGCCACAUGGAUGCUGUGAUCCGAAUUAUUCGCUAUCUUAAGGGAUGUCCUGGUCGAGGUCUACUAUAUACAUCACAUGGCAAUCUACAGGUGGAAUGUUAUACAGAUGCAGAUUGGGCAGGCUCUUUGGAUGAUAGAAGGUCAACAUCAGGCUACUGUACAUUUGUUGGAGGUAAUCUUGUCACAUGGCGCAGCAAAAAGCAAAGUGUUGUAGCGCGGUCCACGGCUAAAGCAGAAUUUAGAUCCAUGGCACAUGGAGUGUGUGAAGUGUUAUGGGUGCGAAUCCUUUUGAUGGAGCUGGGUUUAUUUCAGACUAAACCAUUGAUGCUAUAUUGUGGUAAUAAGGCAGCCCUUAGUAUUGCACAAAAUCCUGUGCAACAUGAUCGAACAAAGCAUGUUGAAAUUGAUCGACAUUUUAUUAAAGAGAAGUUGGAUCAAGGAAUUAUUUGUAUGACAUAUGCGAGCUCCUCAAACCAACUUGCAGACAUCUUGACUAAGGGCUUACCAGAUAGAAUGUUUUCUAUCCUUUGUAGAAAGAUGGGGUUAUAUGAUGCAUUUACCCCAUCUUGAGGGGGAGUGUUGAGUUGUGUAAAUGUGUGAAUAUGUAACAGUUGGGGGGCUAAGAUGUAAAAGCGCAUAUCUAUAUAGAAUACAGAGAAAGAGGAGGCUGGAUAAGGCGCUCCAGAUUUUUCCCCAUUCUAGUUCUUCCUUCUACCAUCUUCUAAUCCAGAUUUGUUGAAUAUUUCUCUGAUUUACAACACUUUGAAAACGUCUAGUAGUACCAUGAGCACUUCGACUAGUUAAAUUUUUAAGUGUAACAAUAAGUUUUCCNNNNNNNNNNNNNNNNNNNNNNNNNNNNNNNNNNNNNNNNNNNNNNNNNNNNNNNNNNNNNNNNNNNNNNNNNNNNNNNNNNNNNNNNNNNNNNNNNNNNNNNNNNNNNNNNNNNNNNNNNNNNNNNNNNNNNNNNNNNNNNNNNNNNNNNNNNNNNNNNNNNNNNNNNNNNNNNNNNNNNNNNNNNNNNNNNNNNNNNNNNNNNNNNNNNNNNNNNNNNNNNNNNNNNNNNNNNNNNNNNNNNNNNNNNNNNNNNNNNNNNNNNNNNNNNNNNNNNNNNNNNNNNNNNNNNNCUUUCAUACGCCCUCUCUUUUUGCUUCAAGCAUCUGUGUGUGUGUGUGUGUGUGAGAGAGAGAGGGAGAGAGAGAGAAAUCAUAUGGGUUCUUGAGAGAGUUGAUUGAAGAUCUUUUCAGGACCUCAUGCAAUUGACUUUGCUUUGCCUUUUAGUCUUCGAGGAUGUGCACCCGCUAGGUGAUUAGGAGUCACUUGAGAGCCUUCAAGGUUGUGAUGAAAUCAAGAGUUUGUACAAGGCUCGAUGGUCACAUUCUUCAUGCAAGAUUAAUUCUAAGUGGGACUUUGACCUUAGUGGUAUCAUGGUCCUUGUGGGAUUUUAGUUGGAGACACUGUCAACACCUUUGUGGUCUUAGGACUUUGUGUCCGAACCUCCACCAAUGAGGAGUAGGAUAGGAAUCUUGGAAAAACAUCGUCGUGUCAACAGUAUUUGCUAUCUCUUUUCCCUUAGUCCUACAUUUCUUGCAAGUUUACCUUCCAAAUUCAUACUUUGUUGUAGACAUGUUUGAGUAGGUUCUCCUAAGAAACCAAGUCCAAAAUCUUAUUACUUGCCAACUAAAAUUUGAGGAUAUAAUAUUUUAUGUGAGUAUUCAUCCCUUCACCUCUUGUCCAUAGCACACGGUCCUACAAAAUCAUAGCAUGUCACUCUGAUACCCACAUGUGUAGAGGGGUGGAGGCAAUCUCCAGCAAAAAUAUUUUACCCUGAUAUAAUUUGUUAGUAGGGAUUAUGACUGAGUAUUGAUAUAGGUAAUAGGUUCAGAUAAGUAAAAGAAAAGUGGUGGUUACCUGGUGGUAGUCAAGAAAUAAGUAAUAAACGGGAAAAAAAUUAAAAUAGCAGGCAUUCAACCAUAAUUAAAGAGUGGAUCAGAUCUCGUCGCCCAUACUGAUCAAGAAGACGUCGUGGCUGUUGCAUAAGUGAUGUUGUUGAGAUGUCGUUGGCGAAGAUUGGUCGAAGUAGACAACUAUGGAGUAGAGUGCGUGGCGCCGCAUCACUUGGAUGGAGGACGGUCUCAUGUCGCCAUCACGAUCUAAAUCAACUAGUUUUUCAAUUCCUAAACUUAACGGCAAAGAAACCAAAAAAUAAAAUGGCAAACCAAAGCUGCACUCCUCGACCAGAUUUCGGAUUUUGACGGAUUAUUCACGAACAUGUCAUACGCCACAACGAGCCGAGCGCACACAUGUUCUCUUUUUCUCCUCAUACCCAUCACUUGAUCGUUGCAUCCUCUGAAAUAUCUUUGCAAGUUGGUUAUAUUUUUAUUCAUAGACUACUACAAGAUGAUAAGGUUUUGGUCAAACCUUCAUAUCUACACGUAUCCACGUGCGCGGGAUUGCGGGGCCUGAAAAGUUGACAAUAGCAAUAUCUCGAACAUGCACGUGAAUGUGUGGUUGCGGUGAGAAGCUUGCGUAGACACGGCUUUGAAACUCUCUCUUUUAUUUACUUAGCGUUGCCUAUAAAUACAUGGCCGCUUCAUCAAGACAUCUACAUCUGGAAAGCAAGCCGGUGCUAGGAACGAUCAAAUCACAUAGAAGUGCAUAGAGGUCGUGGUAAGUACCAUGUCAUUCCUCCCUCUUUUUCGAGAAGAUCCGUGUUCUAUCUAUUCCUCCGGUUUACCAUAUCAUUUGUCAUGUAUCAUUGUCUAUGAAAUUUGUCGCCCGUACUCAUGGGCAUCUCUAGCAAAAUGAUCAGAAAUUCAUAUUAGCCAUUUCCUUUAUUUCCAUAUUAUUCGUUAUCUUCUCCUUUUCUACUACUAUGAGACUGCUAAUACUGUACAAAUUUAGAUAGAAAAAGAGUACAAAAAAGAGGCUAAAAGUUGUGACCAAGGCUAAAAGUUGAGUGACUGGGAACAGAUAAUUCAUUUGCCUGAUGUUGACCACGAAGCACUAUAUUCCUUGCAGGCGUUUGCCCAAUUUCAUUCCCACCAUGAGCAAGCCAUGCGACGGUGCCAAUCCCAAGACGGAGUGGCCUGAGCUGGUCGGGCGCACGAUCAAGGAGGCGGAGGAGAAGAUCAAGGCGGACCGACCGGACCUCAAAGUUGUCAUUGUCCCGGUAGGAAGUGUUGUGACACAGGAGGUCGAUCUGAACCGCGUCCGCGUCUGGGUCGACACAGUGGCGGAGGUUCCCAAGAUUGGCUAAGCUAGCUUGUAAUUAGCCAACUGGAAUAAAAGCCCAUGCAAGUCUCAACAUCGUCCAGUUAAUUUGCCGAACAAAUAAGCAUGGGUAUGUUGUGAAGAAAAAUAAGUAUUGUUGGUGUUUUGCGGAAAUGUAUCAUGUGUGGAUCUGUUAUGUAUGUUAUUUUGUUGUAAGUUGUAAUAAGCAUCGUUAAUAUUAUCUGGCCCUGUUUAUAUUGUCUAAUAAAUAUAAUCUACUUUAGCGGAGUGAAAUCCGUUUCA